AACGGACGAGAAGCUUGCUUCUCUGAUGUUAGCGGCGGACGGGUGAGUAACACGUGGAUAACCUACCUAUAAGACUGGGAUAACUUCGGGAAACCGGAGCUAAUACCGGAUAAUAUUUUGAACCGCAUGGUUCAAAAGUAAAAGACGGUCUUGCUGUCACUUAUAGAUGGAUCCGCGCUGCAUUAGCUAGUUGGUAAGGUAACGGCUUACCAAGGCAACGAUGCAUAGCCGACCUGAGAGGGUGAUCGGCCACACUGGAACUGAGACACGGUCCAGACUCCUACGGGAGGCAGCAGUAGGGAAUCUUCCGCAAUGGGCGAAAGCCUGACGGAGCAACGCCGCGUGAGUGACGAAGGUCUUCGGAUCGUAAAACUCUGUUAUUAGGGAAGAACAUAUGUGUAAGUAACUGUGCACAUCUUGACGGUACCUAAUCAGAAAGCCACGGCUAACUACGUGCCAGCAGCCGCGCUAAUACGUAGGUGGCAAGCGUUAUCCGGAAUUAUUGGGCGUAAAGCGCGCGUAGGCGGUUUUUUAAGUCUGAUGUGAAAGCCCACGGCUCAACCGUGGAGGGUCAUUGGAAACUGGAAAACUUGAGUGCAGAAGAGGAAAGUGGAAUUCCAUGUGUAGCGGUGAAAUGCGCAGAGAUAUGGAGGACACCAGUGGCGAAGGCGACUUUCUGGUCUGUAACUGACGCUGAUGUGCGAAAGCGUGGGGAUCAAACAGGAUUAG
Molecule: ribosomal RNA, 729 nt
Filed under: uncultured Staphylococcus sp.
Lineage: Bacteria; Bacillati; Bacillota; Bacilli; Caryophanales; Staphylococcaceae
Description: bacterial SSU rRNA
Rfam family: Bacterial small subunit ribosomal RNA
Source: RNAcentral